UACGAAGGGUGCAAGCGUUACUCGGAAUUACUGGGCGUAAAGGGUGCGUAGGCGGGUCUUUUAAGUCAGGGGUGAAAUCCUGGAGCUCAACUCCAGAACUGCCUUUGAUACUGAAGAUCUUGAGUUCGGGAGAGGUGAGUGGAACUGCGAGUGUAGAGGUGAAAUUCGUAGAUAUUCGCAAGAACACCAGUGGCGAAGGCGGCUCACUGGCCCGGAACUGACGCUGAGAUGCGAAAGCGUGGGGAGCAAACAGG
RNAcentral lists this ribosomal RNA (254 nucleotides) under uncultured bacterium. RNAcentral's name for it is "partial 16S ribosomal RNA". It matches the Rfam family "Bacterial small subunit ribosomal RNA", at positions 524 to 776 of the family's 1533-position model. The record is from RNAcentral.